RNAcentral lists this ribosomal RNA (254 nucleotides) under uncultured bacterium. RNAcentral describes it as "partial 16S ribosomal RNA". It matches the Rfam family "Bacterial small subunit ribosomal RNA", at positions 524 to 776 of the family's 1533-position model. The record is from RNAcentral.
UACGAAGGGGGCUAGCGUUGUUCGGAAUUACUGGGCGUAAAGCGCACGUAGGCGGACAUUUAAGUCAGUGGUGAAAUCCCAGAGCUCAACUCUGGAACUGCCUUUGAUACUGGGUGUCUGGAGUAUGGAAGAGGUGAGUGGAAUUCCGAGUGUAGAGGUGAAAUUCGUAGAUAUCUGGAGGAACACCGGUGGCGAAGGCGGCAUCCUGGACCAACACUGACGCUGAGUGAGCGAAAGCCAGGGGAGCAAACGGG